AUUGAACGCUGGCGGCAUGCCUUACACAUGCAAGUCGAACGGCAGCACGGGGCAACCUGGUGGCGAGUGGCGAACGGGUGAGUAAUGUAUCGGAACGUACCAUGAGUGGGGGAUAACGUAGCGAAAGUUACGCUAAUACCGCAUAUUCUCUCCGGAGGAAAGCAGGGGACCGCAAGGCCUUGCGCUCUUUGAGCGGCCGAUAUCAGAUUAGCUAGUUGGUGAGGUAAAGGCUCACCAAGGCGACGAUCUGUAGCGGGUCUGAGAGGGUGAUCCGCCACACUGGAACUGAGACACGGUCCAGACUCCUACGGGAGGCAGCAGUGGGGAAUUUUGGACAAUGGGGGCAACCCUGAUCCAGCCAUGCCGCGUGAGUGAAGAAGGCCUUCGGGUUGUAAAGCUCUUUCGGCCGGGAAAAAAUCGCAUGGGCUAAUACCCUGUGUGGAUGAUGGUACCGGAAUAAGAAGCACCGGCUAACUACGUGCCAGCAGCCGCGGUAA
This 497-nucleotide ribosomal RNA is filed under the name uncultured bacterium. RNAcentral describes it as "partial 16S ribosomal RNA". It matches the Rfam family "Bacterial small subunit ribosomal RNA", at positions 30 to 523 of the family's 1533-position model. The record is from RNAcentral.